GAGGUUUCUCCUGUGUGGGAGAUUCUGGGGACUCAGUUGGAGUCUCCUGUUGAAAUGGCAAAUGUUCAUUCUCCUCAGGGGACUGUGGAGGCAGAGUUGGGGCUUCAUGCUGGGUUGCAAAAGCUUCCACAUUAAGGGGCACAGAGGGCUGAGUGACAGACUCACGUUGAACUGGCAAAGGUCCCACCUCUGUAGUGGGUUCUGGUGUUACAGUAACCUGCACGCCUGCAGGUUUAACAGUGAUAUUGGGCAGGUUUAACUGUUGAACCUGAUGGUGACCUGGAGGUGCAACUUUCACCUCAUGAUGCUCUAGAGGUUGAGCUGGGUGCUCCUGCUGGGUUGGAAUAGGUUCCACCUCCCCCAAAGACAGCUCUGGUGGCUGAGCUGGUUGUUCUUGCAGGAUUGCAGGCUCAGCCUUCUUGGGGUGCUGUGGAGGCUGAGUCACAGUUACAGUAAGUGCCAAAUCUACAGGUUUAACAGUGACAUUGUGUAAUUUUGGCCGCUGAGCUUCAUUCUGACUCAGAGAUGGCACAUUUACCUCCUGAGGUGGUACCUUCUCCUCUGGUGGCUGAGCUGGGGCCUCCUGAGGGGUCCAAGGUUCUACUUCCUCAGGUGCCUCUGUAGGUUGAGCUGAGGCUUCCUGUUGGACUUCAGGGGUACUUGAAGGUUCAGCUGGGCCUCCGGUGGGCUUACAGAAUUUCCAGCUUCCUUAAGGCUCUCUGGAGGCUGAGAUAGAGCGUCCUGAAGAAGUGGAGGUGUUUCUGUCUCUUCAGGGGACUCUGGAUGCUUGGCCUGGGCCUCCACUCCAGGCACAAAAGGUUCAGGUUCCUCUACAGUGGGCUGGAGAGGUCCUGCAGGGGUCUCCUGCAGGAGUGAAGAAAUUUCAAGCUCCUCAGGGAGCUCUGGGGGUUGAUCUGGUCCCCCUGGGAAAUCCAUUGGUCGGUUUUCCUCAGGGUAUAUGAUAUCCAUACCAGAAUCUGAAUAAUCGUCCUGCAGUUGUUCUAGGAGCUCUUUAUUUGCAAAUUGGUUUGGAGUUCCAAUAACAACUUUGGCAAGCCUUCGAUGCUGAACUAGAUCUUUGUCCAGGUUUGGGGAUGAAACAAAAAAACUUUCUUUGGUUUAAACCCUGACUAUCCAGAGGUGGAGCAAGUAUUUCCAAUGACUGGUGAUCUUCUGGCUCAUCUCCAGUUUUCAUCUUACUUUUGAGUGGAGGAGGCAGAACUAUGGCCUGAUUCUCAUCACCCAACGCUGGAACCACUUGUAAGAGCCUUUCGUGCAGGGUUGGCUUGUCAUUCAGAUACUGAUCUGUCUCUGGGGGCAGCUCACCAUUUGAAUCCGUGUCCAGGAAUGGAACCAAAGUCUCAGUCAACUGCUUAGGCGGGGCCGACAUCUGGGCUGGAGCAGAGGACCUCAAGUUAUUAAAGCCCCCCCCCGCCUCUGCGGGGCGGGUAAGUGCCUGGAGCGAUUCAUGCAGGAGUUCAGAAGAGUGCGAAGACCAGGGUUCCGGGGGUUCCGGGGGUUCCGGGGAUCUCCGAGGGCCGGAGGUCCGACGGGCCCACGCGGGAAGCGGAGCUGCCUGGCCCAACAACCACGACGGUUGCCAGGUAAAAAUAAACAAAAGGUAGAGGCAAAGCCUGGACAUGAUACUCUGCGGAGCAGAGACCCAAGCCAGUGGGGCGCUCGGUCUCGCCAGAGAAACCGAAAUGUUCAGGGAGCCCGGUGACGCCCCCAUUGUUAGCAACUGCGCGCCCCUCCCCCGCCUGCGUCCCACCCUUUAUUUACCACCUUUGUGAGCUUGGCACAGCUGGGGUGCGGCUGGGCUCCGAAGCCCCUGGUUCAAGCCUCUUCCCCAGAAUCCCCAGGCCAAGCCUCCCUUCCCCUGCAAAGGCCACCACUACCUCCCGCCGAGCUACAGGGAAGGAUUUGGGCUGCUGGAGUCUGCAAGGACCCAGACUCCAGCCGCUCUGAGGUGUAGGGUCGGGGUGUGGAGCAGUUUCCCCAGGAAGCAGAAGACCUGGCGUCCCGGAGAUUCAAAAUGCUAGUCCACUUCUGGCGGAUCGAACUUGUCCUCUUCAAAGCUUAAAUCCGAGACACAUUCCUCCUCCCCCUGGCUGUACUGCUUCUAAGAAAAGAGGCUGACCUGAAGAAUAAGCACAGGGACAGUGGGGAGGGGAGCACACUUCACGGUUACUCUGAAUGUUGCCAUUUCCUCUAAGUUCUCCCAUCCGAGUACUAACCAGGCCCGACCCUGCUUAGCUUCCGAGAUCAGACGAGAUCGGGCGCGUUCAGGGUGGUAUGGCCCUAGACUCCUCUAAGUUCUCAAUACGCAUGUCUGAGUUUUAAUUCACUACUGUGUUAGGAGGAGGCUACCUACCACUGAAUCAGCGAUGGCUCCAAACUCUGUGGGAGGGGCUUGGGGGCAUGGGGGGAGGGGAGAGGUGAGCAAUUCAUUCUGGGAGUGAGAGUCUGAAACCAAGGGACUAGCCCUCCGUUUACAUUAGGAUGGAAAACUUCCGCGUCCCACCUACACUCAACACACCUGUCAAUCUAGAACAAGUAACCUUGAGGUCUACCCUGUGUGCACGCAUGGAGAAGGCACUUAAAAUGUUGAGGUCAGCAUGUUAAACUUUCUGGAAAUACUGUAACUAGCGCCCCGUUUACUUCCUUCACUGUCCUUUCUAUAAUCUCUUUCAUUUUAGUCCGUGUUUAUGGGCUGGCACAAGCUCUGGAGAACGUAGGUUUUUGUUUUGCUUUGCUUUCAAGGAUUUAUUUAUUCAGAGAGACAGAGGCAGAGACACAGGCUGAGGAAGAAGCAGGCUCCAUGCAGGGAGCCCGACGCGGAACUCGAUCCGGGUCUCCAGGAUCACACCCUGGGCUGCAGGCCGCACUAACCCGCUGCGCCGCCAGGGCUGUUGGAGAGAGACGGAUUUUAUCCUAUUCCCAGUGUCUAGCACAUACUAUGGUUUUUAAAUGGAACUAAUUCCAUAACUGGUCUUAUUUAGGAAUGGAUCUGUUGUUAGAGUCAGGUUUCUGAAAUCUAUAGCAUCAAUACUGAAUCUCUUUCUCUCACAUUUCACAGGAAGCUAGACUUCUUAAAGUGUAAACUUGGAUAAGUCUGAGAUUUCCUUGACUGGCUUGAUUUAAAUUGAAUUAGAAGAAUUUUUGCACAGACAAAACUUCAAAUGCUUUUUCAGAAAGUAACCAUCUUUUCAUUCUCUACUCUCUUCCCUUCAAAACAAAUGUUGCAACUUCGGAGUUAGUUAAAUAAUCAGAAUUCUAGCCCCAAAUUAAGUUCUUAAUGACAUGAAACACAUUCUUUGCUCCUAUUAUUUAUUUUCUUUUAACAUUCAAUAUAUAGAACAUUGGCAUUUUAUUUUAGAAAUUACUUUGUCAACUUAAUCCCUAAUUCAGGGUUAGGGUUACAGAAAAGUUCUUCAACAAAAUAUUUCAUACAAGAUGUCUAUGUGAUACUGAUAUCUGGGUAAUAUACCUUAUUUGAAAGACAAUUAAAAAAAAUAUUUUAUUUAUUCAUGAGAGCCACACAGAGCCCUGAGGGGAGCCUGAUGUGGGACUCCAUCUCAGGACCCUGGGAUCAGGCCCCAAACCCAAGGCAGAUGCUCAACCACUGAGUCACUCAGGUGUCCCAAUGCACAUAAAGGUUUUCAAAUGCUGUAGCAUCAUCUCACUUAAGGCCAUAGUUACUCUGUUCCCAAGUCCCUGAGAUUCUGUUUGAGGGGAGCGCUAAAAGGCUGUGUCCUCUUCUAUGUCCACAACUAUAGGAGCACUCUGAUGCAAUUGGCUCUCCAAAUUUCAAAUAAGGGGUCAGAGCCAAGGGCCAAGACUUCAAGAAAAGCCCCAGAAAUUCCCUGCACUCAAAAGCAGUUUCAGAGUUUCACAUUUCCCAAAAGAUGACAGAGCUAACUAUAGUCUUCCAAAUCCUGUCAGUUGCUUUAAAUUAUGGUUAUAGUAUAGUAUAGUAUAGCUGUGGAACCCUUGAGCUUUAAUAACCAGGUGCUUGAAUUAAAUCAUGUAGCUCCUCUUGGGUUCUGGCAUCUGUAAUCUCUUCACACUGUCUGUAUUCCACAGCUAUUUUACCACUUUCUGUAAUAAAGUUAACGAGGAUCAAUUCAGAGUUUUUCUUGUUCUAAAAUGUGCUGUACUGGGUGUUAUGCUAUAUGUUGGCAAACUGAACUCCAAUAAAAAAAAUAAAAA
This 4212-nucleotide long non-coding RNA is filed under the name Canis lupus familiaris (dog). Its description in RNAcentral is "lncRNA (ENSCAFG00845030693.1)". The record is from RNAcentral. Lineage: Eukaryota; Metazoa; Chordata; Mammalia; Carnivora; Canidae.